UCUGGUAACUAUGGCGUGAAGGUUACACACCUUCCCAUUCCGAACAGGAUUGUUAAGCUUCACAGCGCUGAUGGUACUGCACUGGAGACGGUGUGGGAGAGUAAGACGUUGCCAGGU
This 117-nucleotide ribosomal RNA is filed under the name Oceanirhabdus sp. W0125-5. Lineage: Bacteria; Bacillati; Bacillota; Clostridia; Eubacteriales; Clostridiaceae. The record is from RNAcentral.